AAUGCAAUAAUGAAUAUGCACAGUGAGUAUUAAAAGAUAAAAUAAACACUCCCUUAAAAAGUCACAGUAAUUAACAUAGGGUUUAUUUUCAAUGGGUAUUGCUUGUUAGCCUGCUAUAUACCUCAACUGCAGUGUAAAGUUUUAGUCAAUAGGUGGCAGCAGCAGCGCUAGCAUCCCAUAGAAAGUCCCAUUAGAAAACCCCUGAGUGCUGCAGUAGAGAUAACCCCUGCACAGCAGCGUCAUGCAUAGUGCAGGACACUGGAAAUAAAAGGAUGCAUCUUUGAUUUCUGCAGAAAUAUUCAAUUCCUGUGUUGUACCUGAAAUGGACCUAGCCUUAUCAUUUUUGAAGUGCAACACUUGCACCCCCAACUAAAAAACAAAGUGAGUCCCGAAUGUACUUAAUAAAAAAUAUGACUUAUGUAAUUUUAAGAGGACAAUACGGGUCUAAGAAUGAUAGAAUGAGCUCUCUGUGGUGUUUCUACACGUCUCUGUUGCAUGUGUAAGAUGUAACAGGUUUCAGAUAUUUAGUGGGCAGGGCAAGAGAUGAACCUGUCUCUCCUCCUCCCCCGUGUCUUGCCUGUGCACUCAGACAUAUAGAUAGAUCUCAUUCAUAUAUACCAGCACAGUCAUGACCGAUGGCAGGUCUGUUUGUUAGUUCCAGUGUAGAGCUGCUGAAACACGGCACAGUGCAGCAUGUCUCAGGUGUAUCUCCUCCUGUUUCUGUCCUGGCUUUACAACAGCCAGACUGCAAAGGCCACUCUAAUCACCCAGCGUCCUCUCCUUAUCAUGAAGAAAGGAGACUCUGCUGUUCUAGACUGUGAGCAGGAUGGCUCAGAUAUUACCAUGUCCUGGUACAGACAGGCCCCUGACAAGGGCCUGGAGCUCAUCUACUAUUCAGCUGGUACUGGCUCAGAGGAGAGGCAGCAAUCCAUCCCAGACAGAUUCUCAGCUAAGAGAUCUGUCUUAAAGAAUUUCCCCCUGAAUAUUGCAACCUUGCAGGCAGAAGACUCUGCUGUUUAUUUCUGUGCGAGCAGCCACAGUGUGAGAAAGUAACCCUACACCCGUUCAAAAACCUUAUUAUAGAACACAGCCCUGUUAGCCUACAGAACAUGAAAGCAAUCUGUCUAUGAAGAGAUGUGGUUUUAUUCUUUAUUUGUAUAGUUUGCUCUACAUUUUAAACCUGUUAAAGAUGUCAAACAGGUGCACUGCAAACCAGUGGCGGUAACUGUGGCUUGUCAUUUCCCAUUCGGGCACAGCACUUUCUGUUUGUACUCUUUCAGAAGAUGAACAGAAACUGGAACACAUUUUGCACCUGUACACAUGCUUUGUAAAUCUUGCUCUACACAGCACAGAACAUUAUUCUCCAAUACAGUUCACUUUUUACUGCAUAGAACUGUUUGACAACAGACUGCUCUCCUUUCUUUAAGAUCUUGUGUGUCUCCUGGUAUAAUUACAAAGCAGGCUGUGUGUGGAUAUGAUCCUCACCCCAAACAUUACCCCCAGCUGUACACGGUUUCCAUGCUCUACAGGAUGAUUUUUAUUUUGCUCAUCUUUUCAACGUUGAUACAAUCCUUUAUUGUGCUAGUCUUGCAUGUCUUUCUACAAACCUCAGUGCAGCUCAGCUGGAGCUCAAAGAGACUGCCUUGUA
Acipenser ruthenus (sterlet) is the source of this 1648-nucleotide long non-coding RNA. RefSeq lists it as uncharacterized. The transcript is spliced from 3 exons. Lineage: Eukaryota; Metazoa; Chordata; Actinopteri; Acipenseriformes; Acipenseridae. The record is from RefSeq and is a predicted model, not a curated record.